CUUAAUUAUGAGUUCUUAAAAAAAAAGAUUUGAACAAAACAAGAGUGAUUAUGUCUGAAUCAAUCAUCUCACAUUUGAGCCUGUUUAUGAUCUAACCAAUCCCAAUCACAAAUUUGUUUAUUUUCUUACAAAAUUCAAAAUCAUCUCAAGAGUUAUUAAAAAUCAGAAGAAAGCAAAGUAUUCAAAAUCAUCAAUCGGUCUUGAAGAAUCAGUUUUUGUGCAGCUUUGUUACUCUUCAGCGGCAAUGACACUGAUCUCACCUCUCUCUCAAGCAAGUCAUAGAAAGCUCUGGUUUUCCUCUGUUUGUUCCAAUGGUCUCAUCUUCCAAAGACCACCAGCAGCUAAACCGAGUGCCAUACCGAUGAUUAGCUAGAAAUGUAAUGCACAAUCAAUUCAUAUACAAGACAGAGACUGACUACUCUCUUCACCAUCCCACGGUUCAGCAUCUUCCCAGCUGCUCCAAAUAUUGGAGCCAAGCGGCCUGUGAUCGGUCCUGGGUUUGCUAGUUUCUAUAAAGCAUCAAGUAUAAAAAGAGAGAGACUAUCUAUAAAGCAUACACCUUUACAUGUGACACAGACUAAUAACAAUGAUCCGUUCAUGAGAUAAAAGGAAGAUACUUUUUGAUUGAAUUAACUAGAUUCAGAUGACAACAAUGCAUAAAUGAAAAAAGAAAAGGAAAGUGAGAUGAAACCAGAAGAAGAAGAAGGUUGGUCACGUCGCGCUUUCUCCUCUGCCCAAAACAACACACCAUUCUCUCCAAAAAUUCAAUCUUUCCGAUGAUCUUCCUUAAGGUGACACUAAGUAGUCUCUGGUUCGAACUCUUUCUCUGUCCUGAAACAACCAGAAAAACACAUUCUUUAUCAAAACCAACAGCAAGCAGAGAAAGGGAUACCAAAUCAGAGAAUAAAAACAAUGACUUUGAAGUUUAUAUUUCUGAGAGGUUGGCGAUCUCUUUGCUUUUUUCAGAGAAACAAUCAAUUGGGAGAGACACAGAGAGGAAGAGAUAGAGACAGGGAGAAGUAGAGAAGAGACUGUUCUUCCAACUCCUCCUAAUCAGGAGAUGUCUCUUGUGUUAAUUGUAACUAGGAUAAGACCCGCGCCUUGCGCGGGAUUAAGUUAUUAUUUUUAUUAUAUUUUUGAGAAUGAAACAAUAGUUUGGCUUCAUUUGGAUUACAGGUGUUCAAUCCGGAUAUCGGGUUGGUUCGGUUCGGUUCGGUUUUUUCGGUAUUUGGUUAGUAAAAUAUAACUACUAUUCUAAAUCCAUAUUUAUUUUGACUUUAGUCUUUCACAUACUUUUGAAAGAUUUCAACUGGACGACUAAAUUGAUCAGC
This 1331-nucleotide long non-coding RNA is filed under the name Brassica rapa (field mustard). RNAcentral's name for it is "long non-coding RNA (BRAP_LNC001550)". Lineage: Eukaryota; Viridiplantae; Streptophyta; Magnoliopsida; Brassicales; Brassicaceae. The record is from RNAcentral.